RNAcentral lists this ribosomal RNA (500 nucleotides) under uncultured bacterium. Its description in RNAcentral is "partial 16S ribosomal RNA". It matches the Rfam family "Bacterial small subunit ribosomal RNA", at positions 28 to 523 of the family's 1533-position model. The record is from RNAcentral.
GACGAACGCUGGCGGCGUGCUUAACACAUGCAAGUCGAACGGUAACAGGGUGCUUGCACCGCUGACGAGUGGCGAACGGGUGAGUAAUGCGUCGGAACGUGCCGAGUAGUGGGGGAUAACGCAGCGAAAGUUGUGCUAACACCGCAUACGUACUGAGGUAGAAAGUGGGGGACCUUCGGGCCUCACGCUAUUCGAGCGGCCGACGUCUGAUUAGCUAGUAGGUGAGGUAAAGGCUCACCUAGGCGACGAUCAGUAGCGGGUCUGAGAGGAUGAUCCGCCACACUGGGACUGAGACACGGCCCAGACUCCUACGGGAGGCAGCAGUGGGGAAUUUUGGACAAUGGGCGAAAGCCUGAUCCAGCCAUGCCGCGUGUCUGAAGAAGGCCUUCGGGUUGUAAAGGACUUUUGUCAGGGAGGAAAUCCCUAGUGCUAAUAACACUGGGGGAUGACAGUACCUGAAGAAUAAGCACCGGCUAACUACGUGCCAGCAGCCGCCGUAA